This 166-nucleotide ribosomal RNA is filed under the name Crataegus almaatensis. RNAcentral's name for it is "5.8S ribosomal RNA". It matches the Rfam family "5.8S ribosomal RNA". Rfam says of the family: 5.8S ribosomal RNA (5.8S rRNA) is a component of the large subunit of the eukaryotic ribosome. It is transcribed by RNA polymerase I as part of the 45S precursor that also contains 18S and 28S rRNA. Lineage: Eukaryota; Viridiplantae; Streptophyta; Magnoliopsida; Rosales; Rosaceae. The record is from RNAcentral.
UCGGCAACGGAUAUCUCGGCUCUCCCAUCGAUGAAGAACGUAGCGAAAUGCGAUACUUGGUGUGAAUUGCAGAAUCCCGUGAACCAUCAAGUCUUUUAACGCAAGUUGCGCCCGAAGACGCUAGGCCGAGGGCACGCCUGCCUGGGGGUCACGCGCCGUUGCCCCC